GUUCUUGGAAACAUUGAUGUUCGUCCGUUUAGAUCUAGGAAAUCAAUUGUUUAAAAAUGUGUUAUUAGGAAUUAUAAUCGUUUAAUCAAUUAUUUAAUGUCACUCGUCAUUUCGCGAUAAAAAAUUAAAUCAAUUUAACCUAUACUGAUGUGACUUCAAAAUUAACAUGUUUGUCGUUGAAGAUAACAAGUGUAUCAGCUUGAAACUCGAUUGGGACAUUUUUGGAACGGUAAUUGCGUGGCGCGUACCGCUCGUUAUUUGCUCCAAUUCUUCCGCUAACUUAUUAUCAGCACAAUGGACAUUCAAGUCAAUUGACUCGUCGGUAUUCAACGAAGAAGCUAACCUCGCUUUCGCGUUUGCUGAAUAAUUGAAUGACGUCGGAGCACGAUCUUUUUAGGUUGGAAUCGGACGUGGCAACCUUUGUGUCAGUGGUUUGUUAGGUUAUAAGUGCAAUUGUCAAUUUGGUUAUGAAUAUAUAAAUGUAAUUGUAAUUAUAUUGUAUGGCUGUGUUUUUUAUUUAACACGUUGACUAUUGUGACAAAAGGAACAUCUUUUGUACCAUUUAUUCUUACGUUAGCAAAAAUGAAAAGGGAGAAUUAUUGUAUUAUAAAAUAUAUGUAAAUUAAUAUAUGAAUGAAAAUAAUUGUAUAAUAAUAAUUUUAUUUAAUUACAUUUCUAUCUUAAUUAUAUGAUUAUAUA
Molecule: non-coding RNA, 699 nt
Organism: Nomia melanderi (Alkali bee)
Lineage: Eukaryota; Metazoa; Arthropoda; Insecta; Hymenoptera; Halictidae
Source: RefSeq, a predicted model, not a curated record